AAUGAACGCUGGCGGCGUGCCUAACACAUGCAAGUCGUGCGCGAACGGGGCUUCGGCCCUUAGUAGAGCGGCGAACGGGUGAGUAACACGUGGGUAACCUGCCUGGGAGUGGGGGAUAACCUGGGGAAACUCGGGCUAAUACCGCAUACGUUCCCGGGGCUUCGGCUCCGGGAGGAAAGAUGGCCUCUGCUUGCAAGCUAUCUCUCCCAGAGGGGCCCGCGGCUGAUUAGCUAGUUGGUGGGGUAACGGCCCACCAAGGCGACGAUCAGUAGCCGGCCUGAGAGGGCGAUCGGCCACACUGGAACUGAGACACGGUCCAGACUCCUACGGGAGGCAGCAGUGGGGAAUAUUGACAAUGGGGGCAACCCUGAUCCAGCAACGCCGCGUGGGGGAUGAAGGUCUUCGAUUGUAAACCCCUGUUGGAGGACGAAGGUUUUGCGGCGAACAGUCCGUAAGCUUGACGGUACCUCAAGAGGAAGCCCCCGGCUAACUCUGUGCCAGCAGCCGCGGUAAUACAGAGGGGGCGAGCGUUAUUCGGAAUUAUUGGGCGUAAAGGGCGCGUAGGCGGCCGAGCAAGUCUUGGGUGAAAUCCCU
RNAcentral lists this ribosomal RNA (594 nucleotides) under uncultured bacterium. RNAcentral's name for it is "bacterial SSU rRNA". It matches the Rfam family "Bacterial small subunit ribosomal RNA", at positions 28 to 604 of the family's 1533-position model. The record is from RNAcentral.